RNAcentral lists this ribosomal RNA (484 nucleotides) under uncultured bacterium. Its description in RNAcentral is "partial 16S ribosomal RNA". It matches the Rfam family "Bacterial small subunit ribosomal RNA", at positions 30 to 507 of the family's 1533-position model. The record is from RNAcentral.
AUUGAACGCUGGCGGCAUGCUUUACACAUGCAAGUCGAACGGCAGCACGGGCUUCGGCCUGGUGGCGAGUGGCGAACGGGUGAGUAAUAUAUCGGAACGUACCCAGAAGUGGGGGAUAACGUAGCGAAAGUUACGCUAAUACCGCAUACGAUCUAUGGAUGAAAGCAGGGGACCGCAAGGCCUUGUGCUCCUGGAGCGGCCGAUAUCUGAUUAGCUAGUUGGUGAGGUAAAGGCUCACCAAGGCGACGAUCAGUAGCUGGUCUGAGAGGACGACCAGCCACACGGGAACUGAGACACGGUCCAGACUCCUACGGGAGGCAGCAGUGGGGAAUGUUGGACAAUGGGCGCAAGCCUGAUCCAGCAAUGCCGCGUGAGUGAAGAAGGCCUUCGGGUUGUAAAGCUCUUUUGUCAGGGAAGAAACGGUAGAGGCUAAUAUCCUUUGCUAAUGACGGUACCUGAAGAAUAAGCACCGGCUAACUACGUG